ACACAUGCAAGUCGAACGGCAGCACGGGAGCAAUCCUGGUGGCGAGUGGCGAACGGGUGAGUAAUACAUCGGAACGUGCCCAAUCGUGGGGGAUAACGCAGCGAAAGCUGUGCUAAUACCGCAUGAGAUCUACGGAUGAAAGCAGGGGACCGCAAGGCCUUGCGCGAAUGGAGCGGCCGAUGGCAGAUUAGGUAGUUGGUGAGGUAAAGGCUCACCAAGCCUGCGAUCUGUAGCUGGUCUGAGAGGACGACCAGCCACACUGGGACUGAGACACGGCCCAGACUCCUACGGGAGGCAGCAGUGGGGAAUUUUGGACAAUGGGCGCAAGCCUGAUCCAGCCAUGCCGCGUGCAGGAUGAAGGCCUUCGGGUUGUAGACUGCUUUUGUACGGAACGAAAAGGCUUUCUCUAAUAAAGAGGGCUCAUGACGGUACCGUAAGAAUAAGCACCGGCUAACUACGUGCCAGCAGCCGCGGUGAUACGUAGGGUGCAAGCGUUAAUCGGAAUUACUGGGCGUAAAGCGUGCGCAGGCGGUGAUGUAAGACAGUUGUGAAAUCCCCGGGCUCAACCUGGGAACUGCAUCUGUGACUGCAUCGCUGGAGUGCGGCAGAGGGGGAUGGAAUUCCGCGUGUAGCAGUGAAAUGCGUAGAUAUGCGGAGGAACACCGAUGGCGAAGGCAAUCCCCUGGGCCUGCACUGACGCUCAUGCACGAAAGCGUGGGGAGCAAACAGGAUUAGAUACCCUGGUAGUCCACGCCCUAAACGAUGUCAACUGGUUGUUGGGUCUUCACUGACUCAGUAACGAAGCUAACGCGUGAAGUUGACCGCCUGGGGAGUACGGCCGCAAGGUUGAA
RNAcentral lists this ribosomal RNA (851 nucleotides) under uncultured bacterium. Its description in RNAcentral is "bacterial SSU rRNA". It matches the Rfam family "Bacterial small subunit ribosomal RNA", at positions 51 to 898 of the family's 1533-position model. The record is from RNAcentral.